Xenopus laevis (African clawed frog) is the source of this 690-nucleotide long non-coding RNA. RefSeq lists it as uncharacterized. The record is from RefSeq and is a predicted model, not a curated record. The transcript is spliced from 3 exons. NCBI's taxonomy places the organism in Eukaryota, Metazoa, Chordata, Amphibia, Anura, Pipidae.
AGUGACACAAGCACCCGCAAGCACCGUACAGCCGGUAUUUUCAAAAGAGGAUAUAUAUAUUAUUACCAUCGUGGCAUUGCUGGCAUUAAUAGUGGCAUUAAGCAUCGGAUGGUACCUGCACUGCAGAUACAUGCUCGUAGCAGAGAAUUUUAAAAUAGAGACACCCUCGGAUAUUGACAUAGAGAAGGGGCCUGAUACUGAGCAGCCAAAAGUAGCGCCAGCAGAAAUGUAAGUAAAGCUUGUCCGCCUGAAAUAGGCUUUUUGGUUUUUUUUAUUUAACUUAUAUGCAAUAAUAUUCCCUUACUGUAAGUAGUCCUUCACCAUCUGUACACUACUUAUUUUUGUGCAGAAGUCAGAAACAGGAUCCACCAGAAACUAGUAAGGCAAUAUCUGAACGCCAGAAGAAGAAGGAUAAGAAGAACAAUAAGGAUAAGAAGGAUAAUAAGGAGAAGGAUAAUAAGGAUCAGAAGAAGAAAAAGAAGAAAGCACAGAAAAAUAAAGAUGGCUGUGCUAAUACAACAGAGCAGAAAUGAAUAUGCCACAUUUAAUUUCCAUCAGUGAAUAUAGUGAAGAUGGCGGCGGCAGAGCAGAGUAUAAGUGGAUCCAUGUUGAAGAAAAUCUGCCUGCUGAUGGAAUUGCACCGUUGUAUUUCCUUUACUAUGUAAUUUAAUCACAAAUAAAAGGUUUAAC